CCAGACAGCCAGGAUGUUGGCUUAGAAGCAGCCAUCAUUUAAAGAAAGCGUAAUAGCUCACUGGUCGAGUCGGCCUGCGCGGAAGAUGUAACGGGGCUAAACCAUGCACCGAAGCUGCGGCAGCGACACUGUGUGUUGUUGGGUAGGGGAGCGUUCUGUAAGCCUGUGAAGGUGUACUGUGAGGUAUGCUGGAGGUAUCAGAAGUGCGAAUGCUGACAUAAGUAACGAUAAAGCGGGUGAAAAGCCCGCUCGCCGGAAGACCAAGGGUUCCUGUCCAACGUUAAUCGGGGCAGGGUGAGUCGACCCCUAAGG
RNAcentral lists this ribosomal RNA (312 nucleotides) under Escherichia coli. RNAcentral's name for it is "partial 23S ribosomal RNA". It matches the Rfam family "Bacterial large subunit ribosomal RNA", at positions 1085 to 1396 of the family's 2925-position model. Lineage: Bacteria; Pseudomonadati; Pseudomonadota; Gammaproteobacteria; Enterobacterales; Enterobacteriaceae. The record is from RNAcentral.